AACUAUAACGGUCCUAAGGUAGCGAAAUUCCUUGUCAGGUAAGUUCUGACCCGCAUGAAAGGCGUAAUGAUCUGGGCACUGUCUCAACAGCCCGCCCGGCGAAAUUGUAGUACCGGUGAAGAUGCCGGUUACCCGCGACAAGACGGAAAGACCCCAUGGAGCUUUACUGUAGCCUGAUAUUGGGUUUCGGUGUUGCAUGCACAGGAUAGAUGGGACACUGGGAAGGCAGUGCUUUGGCAUUGCUGGAGUGGACGUUGGGAUACCAUCCUUGCGACAUUGGAAUUCUAACCUGCGCCUCUGAAUCGAGGCGGGGGACAUUGUCAGGUGGGCAGUUUGACUGGGGCGGUCGCCUCCUAAAAAGUAGCGGAGGCGUUCAAAGGUUCGUUCGAUCUGGACGGAAACCAGAUGAUUGAGUGCAAACGCAUAAACGAGCCUGACUGCGAGACUGACGGGUCGAGCAGAGACGAAAGUCGGAGUUAGUGAUCCGGUGGUAUGUGAGUGGAAAUGCCAUCGCUCAACGGAUAAAAGUUACCCUGGGGAUAACAGGCUGAUCUCCCCCAAGAGUCCACAUCGACGGGGAGGUUUGGCACCUCGAUGUCGGCUCAUCGCAUCCUGGGGCUGAAUUCGGUCCCAAGGGUUUGGCUGUUCGCCAAUUAAAGCGGUACGCGAGCUGGGUUCAGAACGUCGUGAGACAGUUCGGUCCCUAUCUGUCGUGGGCGCAGGAUAUUUGAAAGGCGCUGUCCCUAGUACGAGAGGACCGGGAUGGACGAACCUCUGGUGCACCAGUUGUCACGCCAGUGGCACAGCUGGGCAGCUAUGUUCGGAUCGGAUAAACGCUGAAAGCAUCUAAGCGUGAAGCCGGCCUUAAGAUAAGAUAUCCCACUGAGUCAAUCAGGUAAGACCCCUUGAAGACUACAAGGUUGAUAGGCACACAGUGUAAGCGGAGUGAUCCGUUCAGCUAGCGUGUACUAAUAGGUCGAGGGCUUGACCC
Molecule: ribosomal RNA, 991 nt
Filed under: human gut metagenome
Description: bacterial LSU rRNA
Rfam family: Bacterial large subunit ribosomal RNA
Source: RNAcentral